AUCCACAAGAUGUAGCAGUUCCUACGGCAGCAGCGAGAAGAGCUACAGGCUUACUUUCGUUGGAUGGGGUACAACCCUAACCAGCAGCAGUGAGCCUGAAGCUAGCUUGGGGGAGGACCCCCGCAAGAGAGGCAACAUGUAUCUUGACCGCUUUCAAAAUAUGUAUGAUAAAAACAAAUAAAAAUCUGAAAAACUAAAAAGACCAAAAAUAUUUACUGCUUUUCUAAGCAUGGUAAGAAUGUUUUAAUUCUCCAUGGUUAAAAUGAUGAAUAGUUUCUCUAUUUAUUU
RNAcentral lists this long non-coding RNA (288 nucleotides) under Setaria viridis. RNAcentral describes it as "long non-coding RNA (SVIR_LNC004365)". Lineage: Eukaryota; Viridiplantae; Streptophyta; Magnoliopsida; Poales; Poaceae. The record is from RNAcentral.